CGGCUCGUAGCUCAAGGGUCAGAGCAGGCUCCUUAUAAGGGCACGACGUCGGUUCAACUCCGUCCGGGCCGA
Molecule: transfer RNA, 72 nt
Filed under: Symmachiella macrocystis
Lineage: Bacteria; Pseudomonadati; Planctomycetota; Planctomycetia; Planctomycetales; Planctomycetaceae
Description: Planctomycetes bacterium CA54 tRNA-Ile
Rfam family: tRNA
About the family: Transfer RNA (tRNA) molecules are approximately 80 nucleotides in length. Their secondary structure includes four short double-helical elements and three loops (D, anti-codon, and T loops). Further hydrogen bonds mediate the characteristic L-shaped molecular structure. tRNAs have two regions of fundamental functional importance: the anti-codon, which is responsible for specific mRNA codon recognition, and the 3' end, to which the tRNAs corresponding amino acid is attached (by aminoacyl-tRNA synthetases). tRNAs cope with the degeneracy of the genetic code in two manners: having more than one tRNA (with a specific anti-codon) for a particular amino acid; and 'wobble' base-pairing, i.e. permitting non-standard base-pairing at the 3rd anti-codon position.
Source: RNAcentral